This 825-nucleotide ribosomal RNA is filed under the name Mycobacterium sp. RODSPM7. RNAcentral describes it as "bacterial SSU rRNA". It matches the Rfam family "Bacterial small subunit ribosomal RNA", at positions 56 to 897 of the family's 1533-position model. The record is from RNAcentral. Lineage: Bacteria; Bacillati; Actinomycetota; Actinomycetes; Mycobacteriales; Mycobacteriaceae.
UGCAGUCGAACGGUAAGGCCCUUCGGGGUACACGAGUGGCGAACGGGUGAGUAACACGUGGGUGAUCUGCCCUGCACUUUGGGAUAAGCCUGGGAAACUGGGUCUAAUACCGAAUAUGACUACGCGAUGCAUGUCGUGUGGUGGAAAGCUUUUGCGGUGUGGGAUGGGCCCGCGGCCUAUCAGCUUGUUGGUGGGGUUAAGGCCUACCAAGGCGACGACGGGUAGCCGGCCUGAGAGGGUGACCGGCCACACUGGGACUGAGAUACGGCCCAGACUCCUACGGGAGGCAGCAGUGGGGAAUAUUGCACAAUGGGCGCAAGCCUGAUGCAGCGACGCCGCGUGAGGGACGACGGCCUUCGGGUUGUAAACCUCUUUCAGCACAGACGAAGCGCAAGUGACGGUAUGUGCAGAAGAAGGACCGGCCAACUACGUGCCAGCAGCCGCGGUAAUACGUAGGGUCCGAGCGUUGUCCGGAAUUACUGGGCGUAAAGAGCUCGUAGGUGGUUUGUCGCGUUGUUCGUGAAAACUCACAGCUCAACUGUGGGCGUGCGGGCGAUACGGGCAGACUGGAGUACUGCAGGGGAGACUGGAAUUCCUGGUGUAGCGGUGGAAUGCGCAGAUAUCAGGAGGAACACCGGUGGCGAAGGCGGGUCUCUGGGCAGUAACUGACGCUGAGGAGCGAAAGCGUGGGGAGCGAACAGGAUUAGAUACCCUGGUAGUCCACGCCGUAAACGGUGGGUACUAGGUGUGGGUUUCCUUCCUUGGGAUCCGUGCCGUAGCUAACGCAUUAAGUACCCCGCCUGGGGAGUACGGCCGCAAGGCUAA